AAAAACGAACAUCGGCAACGUAGACAUCUAGAAAAAUCUUCUUUAUCGACGUCGAUCAAGUUCCUUGACGUGUUUCACUUCACCUUAACGAAACCGGCAAAAGCAACAGGUGGACGAGGUUAUGUUGAAUAGUAACAGAGACAACUUACAGGAAUAAUUACAUCUAAGACGAAAAUAUGAUGGAUCCACCAGAGGAUUUUCCUUUUCCAUUUUCUCCAUACAAUAUUCAGAAAGAAUUCAUGAGGAACUUGUAUAUGUGUUUAGAAAAUGGUCAUUUAGGCAUCUUUGAAAGUCCGACAGGUACUGGAAAAUCUCUUUCGCUUAUCUGUGGAGCAGUGCGAUGGCUUCUCGAUCACGAAGAACGUCAGAAAAAUGAACUGGAGGAGAAAAUUCGUGAAUUAGAUAUCAAGUUAAAAGAGGCAGCAAAUAAAGUAACAGAUGAUUGGUUCUCGGUGCAGACUGGUCAGCUACAGGUAAACGCUGAGAAACAAGAAAUUCAAAGAAAAUUAGAUGCUAUCUAUAAGAAUGAAGAAAAGAUUAAAAAAUAUAAAGCACGGUCUAUGGCAGAAAGUAAAAAGAGUAAAAGGAAAUUUAUAGCCCUGUCUAAAGCGCCAAGUGCUUCCGAGGACGUUAAGCAGAUCCCAUCAGAAUCUGACACGAAAGAAACGUCUGAUGAUUUUGCUGAAGAGUUGAUUCUUGAUGAUGCAGCGAUUUUAUCAGAUAGUUCUGACGAAGAAGAUACAGACGAUGCACCGUUUAGAUGUAGUAAGAUAUUUUUCUGCUCUCGGACUCACUCCCAGCUUUCUCAGUUCGUCGGGGAAUUAAGAAAAAGUCCAUACGCAGAGAAAGUAUCGCUUGUACCGCUUGCUUCCAGAAACAAUUAUUGUAUCAAUAAAGAUGUGAAGAAACUGCGGAAUGGUAAUCUUAUAAACGAACGUUGUUUGCAACUGCAACGCAAGAAAACUACCACUAAGCAAGAAAAAACUUUAAAGAGAUCAAAGACGUUGACCUCUUGUCCAUUCAUGCCAGGAAAUCAAGAGUUCCUAAUUGCUCAGAUAUUAACUACUAUACAAGAUAUUGAAGACAUAACGGAAGUAGCUCGAUUGCAUAAAACUUGUCCAUACUAUGCAUCUAGAAAUUCUACACAAGAUGGCCAGAUUGUUCUAGUUCCUUACAAUAGUAUUUUACAUAAGAAUACAAGACUUAGUUCAGGAAUAGAUUUAAAAGGAAAUGUUUUAAUAAUAGACGAGGCACAUAAUUUAUUGGAUGCAAUUGAACGAAUGCACAGCGCCACUGUUACUGGCAGGAAUAUAUUGCAUUGUUACAGCCAGUUAUCUCAAUAUCAGAAAAGAUUUGAAGCAUUUUUUUCAGCCAAGAAUGUGUUGUACUUGAGCCAGCUAAGUUUCUGUUUAAAAAAAUUCAUCAAAGUAUUAGGUGGAUCAGUCAAAUCAAAUCCUGGAGAUAAAAUAGAUGAAAAUGUGUCUUCCAAAUUGUAUAAUAUUCAAGAAUUCGAAACAGUCGCCGAGAUCGAUACAAUAAACAUCUUUGAACUAUUACUAUUCGUAAAGAAUUCUAAAUUACCCCAUAAGUUGCAAGGAUAUAUAGAGAAGUAUAGCAGCGAUUUAAAAACUAAUGACAAGAAACCGGAGAAAUCUGGUAUAUUAGCAUAUCUGGAUACCCUUCGCAUAAAGAGUACCGCAUUAGAGGAAAUUCCUGUAAACGAAGAAGAAAAAAGUGAAGAGGAUCUAACUAGUAAUCCUUUGUUAUUAAUUAUUAGCUUCCUCGAAUGUCUGAAAAGUUCUUCCAUGGAUGGUCGAAUAAACUUCACGCCCGGUGCUACUAUAGGCCAAAGUGCAUUCAAAUAUUUUUUAUUAAAUCCAGCGGCUCAUUUUCAAGACAUAGUAACGGAUGCAAGAGCAGUUGUAUUAGCCGGAGGAACAAUGGAGCCGAUUUCAGAAUUCAAGGAACAAUUGUUUAUUAGUGCUGGUGCUAAGCCAGAACGAAUAGUAACAUUUAGUUGUGAUCACGUAGUUCCUAAGACAAAUAUCCAUACCAGUAUAGUGACUCGUGGUCCUGGCGGUCUGGAGUUCGAGUUCAAUUUUCAGAACCGAAACAAUACAAAAUUGCUAGAAGAACUAGGACGCGCACUUUUAAAUUUGUGUAACGUCAUACCAGCUGGCAUCGUAGUCUUUCUGCCAUCUUAUAAUUACGAAGCAACAGUGUACAAGCAUUUACAAGAUUCUGGGAUCAUAAGUAAAAUUUUGAAAAAGAAGCGUAUCUUCCGCGAGCCGAAACAAUCUUCCCAGUUAUUUUUUAUCUGCUGCUGCACAGGUAAAUCACGUUUUGGAAGAGUAUAGCAAAACUAUUAAGAACCCGAGCCAACCACAAAAUGGAUCGUUACUUUUUAGUGUUGUUGGAGGCAAAUUGAGCGAAGGAUUAAAUUUUUCGGAUGAUUUAGGAAGAUGUGUAAUAGUAGUUGGUAUGCCGUACCCAAAUGUAAAGUCGCUAGAAUUACAGGAAAAAAUGAG
This 2528-nucleotide unclassified non-coding RNA is filed under the name Orussus abietinus. RNAcentral's name for it is "aTP-dependent DNA helicase DDX11, transcript variant X3". The record is from RNAcentral. Lineage: Eukaryota; Metazoa; Arthropoda; Insecta; Hymenoptera; Orussidae.